This is a non-coding RNA of Nicotiana sylvestris (wood tobacco), 162 nucleotides long. Lineage: Eukaryota; Viridiplantae; Streptophyta; Magnoliopsida; Solanales; Solanaceae. The record is from Rfam.
AUCGCGGCGGUCUCUCAUUCGCUUGGUGCAGGUCGGGACCUGCCUCGCCGGCGACAAUGACGUCAGCUGACGGUGACGGUGGCGUAUCGAUAGAUAUACAUGUUGUUUAUGACGAAAUUUUGGUCCCGCCUUGCAUCAACUGAAUCGGAGACUGCGGUGAAU